Long non-coding RNA from Entelurus aequoreus (snake pipefish), 328 nucleotides. RefSeq lists it as uncharacterized. The transcript is spliced from 3 exons. NCBI's taxonomy places the organism in Eukaryota, Metazoa, Chordata, Actinopteri, Syngnathiformes, Syngnathidae. The record is from RefSeq and is a predicted model, not a curated record.
CCUCUUUCCUGGGGACACCAAGGCCAAGAUCCUGAAGACAUUUUUAUUGAUCAGCAAGCUUGAAGAUGACAUUAAGGAAACAACUCCUGUCCAUUUUCUUGUACUGCGUCCAACGUGUGGCCUCGCUCUUCUGCCUGAACCCCAAACGCAACAAGAAAAACUGCCUCUCUGGGGGAGCCAGGAAUCUGGUGUCUGUCAUCCAGCAGCUUGCCCAGAGGGUCACUCGGGGGAUGCGGACCACUCUGUGAUGCAUGUAACCCAUGCCGCUGAACAACUACUACUUCACAAAUUGGAGCAAUUUUAUUAUUUAUAUUAUCAUUUGAUGGCA